UCAGAUUGAACGCUGGCGGAAUGCUUUACACAUGCAAGUCGAACGGUAGAGGGGGCAACCCCUUGAGAGUGGCGAACGGGUGAGUAAUAUAUCGGAACGUGCCCAGUCGUGGGGGAUAACGUAGCGAAAGCUACGCUAAUACCGCAUACGAUCUAUGGAUGAAAGCGGGGGAUCGCAAGACCUCGCGCGAUUGGAGCGGCCGAUAUCAGAUUAGGUAGUUGGUGAGGUAAAGGCUCACCAAGCCGACGAUCUGUAGCUGGUCUGAGAGGACGACCAGCCACACUGGGACUGAGACACGGCCCAGACUCCUACGGGAGGCAGCAGUGGGGAAUUUUGGACAAUGGGCGCAAGCCUGAUCCAGCAAUGCCGCGUGCAGGAUGAAGGCCUUCGGGUUGUAAACUGCUUUUGUACGGAACGAAACGGUGAGCUCUAAUACAGUUUGCUAAUGACGGUACCGUAAGAAUAAGCACCGGCUAACUACGUG
Molecule: ribosomal RNA, 484 nt
Filed under: uncultured bacterium
Lineage: Bacteria
Description: bacterial SSU rRNA
Rfam family: Bacterial small subunit ribosomal RNA
Source: RNAcentral